GUAUGACAUCAUCCAGGAGCUCUGAUAACUAGUUGGCGGAGUAUGUAUCUAUCUAUCCACUUUGGUUUUCCGACCUCGCAGCCUCUGGCUACAUGUCACCAGAUAUGCCCCAAAGCAAAUGGGGGCUUGAAUAUAAAUAAAUGAUAUAUUUGCGUGAGUGUCCGCCGUUCACUGCGUGCGGCGGCGGCGGAGGACGGAUGCUGAUUACUCCCUGUCGUCGAAUGGGGUGGUACAAAGGGACGAUGAUUGCCCGGCUCAGCAUGGGGUUGUGGUAUAAUGUUACACGCUUUUGUUUUGCACUGCUCCCAAUAGAGCUCACGAAGAUAAUAUUUCCC
RNAcentral lists this small RNA (335 nucleotides) under Histoplasma capsulatum var. duboisii H88. RNAcentral's name for it is "Histoplasma capsulatum H88 hypothetical RNA". The record is from RNAcentral. Lineage: Eukaryota; Fungi; Ascomycota; Eurotiomycetes; Onygenales; Ajellomycetaceae.